RNAcentral lists this ribosomal RNA (305 nucleotides) under uncultured bacterium. Its description in RNAcentral is "bacterial SSU rRNA". It matches the Rfam family "Bacterial small subunit ribosomal RNA", at positions 337 to 641 of the family's 1533-position model. The record is from RNAcentral.
CCCUACGGGGCGCAGCAGUGAGGAAUAUUGGUCAAUGGGCGAGAGCCUGAACCAGCCAAGUCGCGUGAGGGAGUACUGCCCUAUGGGUUGUAAACCUCUUUUGUCGGGGAGCAAAAGCCGGACGUGUCCGGCUGUGAGAGUACCCGAAGAAAAAGCAUCGGCUAACUCCGUGCCAGCAGCCGCGGUAAUACGGAGGAUGCGAACGUUAUCCGGAUUUAUUGGGUUUAAAGGGUGCGUAGGCGGACUGUUAAGUCAGCGGUAAAAGCCCGGGGCUCAACCCCGGCGAGCCGUUGAAACUGGCUGUC